AUGUACGAUUCGUACAUUCCAGCUACCGAGCGCUACCGAAACCUUCCUGGCGACUGUUCGCGACAUUUCGUUAGCC
Molecule: small RNA, 76 nt
Filed under: Xanthomonas pisi
Lineage: Bacteria; Pseudomonadati; Pseudomonadota; Gammaproteobacteria; Lysobacterales; Lysobacteraceae
Also listed under: 1 other name
Description: sX9 sRNA
Rfam family: Xanthomonas sRNA sX9
Source: RNAcentral